This 467-nucleotide ribosomal RNA is filed under the name uncultured bacterium. RNAcentral describes it as "partial 16S ribosomal RNA". It matches the Rfam family "Bacterial small subunit ribosomal RNA", at positions 28 to 507 of the family's 1533-position model. The record is from RNAcentral.
GACGAACGCUGGCGGCGUGCUUAACACAUGCCAGUCGAACGGAAAGGCCUCUUUCGGGGGGUACUCGAGUGGCGAACGGGUGAGUAACACGUGAGUAACCUGCCCUUGACUUUGGGAUAACUUCAGGAAACUGGGGCUCAUACCGGAUAGGAGCUCCUGCUGCAUGGUGUGGGUUGGGAAGUUUCUGCGGUUGGGGAUGGACUCGCGGGUUAUCAGCUUGUUGGUGGGGUAGUGGCUUACCAAGGCUUUGACGGGUAGCCGGCCUGGGAGGGUGACCGGGCACAUUGGGGCUGGGAUACGGCCCAGACUCCUACGGGGGGCAACAGUGGGGAAUAUUGCACAAUGGGUGGAAGCCUGAUGCAGCAACGCCGGGUGCGGGAUGACGGCCUUCGGGUUGUAAACCGCUUUCGCUCAUGACGAAGCUUUGUGUGACGGUAGUGGGUAAAGAAGCACCGGCUAACUACGUG